RNAcentral lists this ribosomal RNA (490 nucleotides) under uncultured bacterium. RNAcentral describes it as "partial 16S ribosomal RNA". It matches the Rfam family "Bacterial small subunit ribosomal RNA", at positions 30 to 507 of the family's 1533-position model. The record is from RNAcentral.
AUUGAACGCUGGCGGCAGGCCUAACACAUGCAAGUCGAACGGUAACAGGAAGAAGCUUGCUUCUUUGCUGACGAGUGGCGGACGGGUGAGUCAUGUCUGGGAAACUGCCUGAUGGAGGGGGAUAACUACUGGAAACGGUAGCUAAUACCGCAUAACGUCGCAAGACCAAAGAGGGGGACCUUCGGGCCUCUUGCCAUCGGCUGUGCCCAGAUGGGAUUAGCUAGUAGGUGGGGUAACGGCUCACCUAGGCGACGAUCCCUAGCUGGUCUGAGAGGGUGACCAGCCACACUGGAACUGAGACACGGUCCAGACUCCUACGGGAGGCAGCAGUGGGGAAUAUUGCACAAUGGGCGCAAGCCUGAUGCAGCCAUGCCGCGUGUAUGAAGAAGGCCUUCGGGUUGUAAAGUACUUUCAGCGGGGAGGAAGGGAGUAAAGUUAAUACCUUUGCUCAUUGACGUUACCCGCAGAAGAAGCACCGGCUAACUCCGUG